RNAcentral lists this ribosomal RNA (228 nucleotides) under marine snow associated bacterium Adriatic87. RNAcentral's name for it is "partial 16S ribosomal RNA". It matches the Rfam family "Bacterial small subunit ribosomal RNA", at positions 202 to 439 of the family's 1533-position model. The record is from RNAcentral.
AAACUCCGGUGUAUAAGAUGGACCCGCGUUAGGUUAGCUGUUGGUAAGGUAAAGGCUUACCAAGGCGACGAUCUAUAGCCGACCUGAGGGUGAUCGGCCACACUGGAACUGAGACACGGUCCAGACACCUCAGGGAGGCAGCAGUGGGGNAUAUUGCACAAUGGGCGAAGCCUGAUGCAGCAACGCCGCGUGAGCGAAGAAGGUCUUCGGAUCGUGAAGCUCUGUCCU